GGGGCUGUAGCUCAGCGGUAAAGCGCUUGCCUAGCACGUGUGAGGCACUGAGUUUGAUCCUCAGCAGCACUU
RNAcentral lists this transfer RNA (72 nucleotides) under Urocitellus parryii (Arctic ground squirrel). RNAcentral's name for it is "Spermophilus parryii (Arctic ground squirrel) tRNA". It matches the Rfam family "tRNA". From Rfam's summary of the family: Transfer RNA (tRNA) molecules are approximately 80 nucleotides in length. RNAcentral also lists the same sequence under 1 other name. Lineage: Eukaryota; Metazoa; Chordata; Mammalia; Rodentia; Sciuridae. The record is from Rfam by way of RNAcentral.